CAUCACUACGCUAGAUGCAUAUCAAUAAGCGGAGGAAAAGGAACUAACAAGGAUUCCCUUAGUAACGGCGAGUGAAGCGGGAAGAGCUCAAAUUUGAAAUCUUAAAGGGUUUCCCUUUACGAAUUGUAGUUUAAAGAAGUGUUUUCUGUUGGAGUUUCGGUAAAAGUUCUUUGGAAUAGGACAUCAUAGAGGGUGAGAAUCUCGUAUUUGACCGUUACUUUCCAGCUGUGUGAUACACUUUCAAAGAGUCGGAUUGUUUGGGAAUGCAGUCCAAGAUGGGUGGUAAAUUUCAUCUAAAGCUAAAUAUUGGCGAGAGACCGAUAGCGAACAAGUACCGUGAGGGAAAGAUGAAAAGAACUUUGAAAAGAGAGUUAAACAGUACGUGAAAUUGUCAAAAGGGAAGCGUUUGAUCACCAGUGUUGUUUUCUCGAAAAUCAAUUAAAAAUGAUGGGAUUUUGUGUUGUAUUGACUUUAUCAGCUUUCUGCACUUUUUUCUUAUCUUUUUUAAUGCACUUUUCGUUUAACAAGUCAACAUCAGUUUCUUUUGUUGUAAAAGGGUCAUUGGAAGGUGGCUUUCUUUUCGGAGAAAGUGUUUAUAGCCUUUGAUCUCUGCAACCGGAGAGACUGAGGUCUGCAGCGUAGACUCUUCGGGGUUAAAUACAUUUGCGCUAAGCUAUAGCUUUUUAUAGACAACUUGUUGACUAUAUUUAGUCUUGUGGCUUACUCGCUUAUGCUAUUUUACCUACGCUUAGGAUGUUGA
Molecule: ribosomal RNA, 760 nt
Filed under: uncultured Neocallimastigales
Lineage: Eukaryota; Fungi; Neocallimastigomycota; Neocallimastigomycetes; Neocallimastigales
Description: partial large subunit ribosomal RNA
Rfam family: Eukaryotic large subunit ribosomal RNA
Source: RNAcentral